Molecule: ribosomal RNA, 889 nt
Filed under: Cosmospora meliopsicola
Lineage: Eukaryota; Fungi; Ascomycota; Sordariomycetes; Hypocreales; Nectriaceae
Description: eukaryotic LSU rRNA
Rfam family: Eukaryotic large subunit ribosomal RNA
Source: RNAcentral
AUAUCAAUAAGCGGAGGAAAAGAAACCAACAGGGAUUGCCCUAGUAACGGCGAGUGAAGCGGCAACAGCUCAAAUUUGAAAUCUGGCCCUUGGGUCCGAGUUGUAAUUUGUAGAGGAUGCUUUUGGUGAGGUGCCUUCCGAGUUCCCUGGAACGGGACGCCAUAGAGGGUGAGAGCCCCGUCUGGUUGGACACCGAGCCUCUGUAAAGCUCCUUCGACGAGUCGAGUAGUUUGGGAAUGCUGCUCUAAAUGGGAGGUAUAUGUCUUCUAAAGCUAAAUAUUGGCCAGAGACCGAUAGCGCACAAGUAGAGUGAUCGAAAGAUGAAAAGCACUUUGAAAAGAGGGUUAAAUAGUACGUGAAAUUGUUGAAAGGGAAGCGCUUAUGACCAGACUUGAGCCCGGUUAAUCAUCCAGCCUUCUGGCUGGUGCACUUGGCCGGCUCAGGCCAGCAUCAGUUCGGCGCGGGGGAUAAAGACUUCGGGAAUGUGGCUCCUCCGGGAGUGUUAUAGCCCGCUGUGUAAUACCCUGUACUGGACUGAGGUUCGCGCAUCUGCAAGGAUGCUGGCGUAAUGGUCAUCAGCGACCCGUCUUGAAACACGGACCAAGGAGUCGUCUUCGUAUGCGAGUGUUCGGGUGUCAAACCCCUACGCGUAAUGAAAGUGAACGCAGGUGAGAGCUUCGGCGCAUCAUCGACCGAUCCUGAUGUUCUCGGACGGAUUUGAGUAAGAGCAUACGGAGCCGGACCCGAAAGAAGGUGAACUAUGCCUGUAUAGGGUGAAGCCAGAGGAAACUCUGGUGGAGGCUCGCAGCGGUUCUGACGUGCAAAUCGAUCGUCAAAUAUGGGCAUGGGGGCGAAAGACUAAUCGAACCUUCUAGUAGCUGGUUUCCGC